Molecule: ribosomal RNA, 488 nt
Filed under: uncultured Glomeraceae
Lineage: Eukaryota; Fungi; Glomeromycota; Glomeromycetes; Glomerales; Glomeraceae
Description: SSU rRNA
Rfam family: Eukaryotic small subunit ribosomal RNA
Source: RNAcentral
GUUGUUGCAGUUAAAAGGCUCGUAGUUGAACUUCGGGGUCUACCCAUUGGUCAGGCUUAAUUGUCUGCACUGGUGAGAUGGAUCUCUACCUUCUGAGGAACUUUCAUGCCAUUUAUUUGGUGUGAUAGGAAAUCAGGACUGUUACUUUGAAAAAAUUAGAGUGUUUAAAGCAGACUAUCGUCUGAAUACAUUAGCAUGGAAUAAUGAAAUAGGACGGACUGAUUCUAUUUCGUUGGUUUCUAGGAUCACCGUAAUGAUUAAUAGGGAUAGUUGGGGGCAUUAGUAUUCAAUUGUCAGAGGUGAAAUUCUUGGAUUUAUUGAAGACUAACUACUGCGAAAGCAUUUGCCAAGGAUGUUUUCAUUAAUCAAGAACGAAAGUUAGGGGAUCGAAGACGAUCAGAUACCGUCGUAGUCUUAACCAUAAACUAUGCCGACUAGGGAUCGGACGAAGUUAUUAAAAAUGACGCGUUCGGCGCCUUACGGGAAAC